UACGGAAGGCAGCAGUGGGGAAUCUUGCGCAAUGGGCGAAAGCCUGACGCAGCCAUGCCGCGUGAAUGAUGAAGGUCUUAGGAUUGUAAAAUUCUUUCACCGGGGACGAUAAUGACGGUACCCGGAGAAGAAGCCCCGGCUAACUUCGUGCCAGCAGCCGCGGUAAUACGAAGGGGCUAGCGUUGCUCGGAAUUACUGGGCGUAAAGGGAGCGUAGGCGGACAUUUAAGUCAGGGGUGAAAUCCGGGGCUCAACCUCGGAAUUGCCUUUGAUACUGGGUGUCUUGAGUAUGAGAGAGGUGUGUGGAACUCCGAGUGUAGAGGUGAAAUUCGUAGAUAUUCGGAAGAACACCAGUGGCGAAGGCGACACACUGGCUCAUUACUGACGCUGAGGCUCGAAAGCGUGGGGAGCAAACAGGGAUUAGAUACCCGU
Molecule: ribosomal RNA, 431 nt
Filed under: uncultured bacterium
Lineage: Bacteria
Description: bacterial SSU rRNA
Rfam family: Bacterial small subunit ribosomal RNA
Source: RNAcentral